UACAGAGGGGGCAAGCGUUAUUCGGAAUUAUUGGGCGUAAAGGGCGCGUAGGCGGCAUCGCAAGUGGAAGGUGAAAUCCCUCGGCUUAACCGAGGAACUGCCCUCCAAACUGCGUUGCUUGGGGCCGGGAGAGGUGAGUGGAAUUCCCAGUGUAGCGGUGAAAUGCGUAGAUAUUGGGAGGAACACCAGUGGCGAAGGCGGCUCACUGGACCGGUUCUGACGCUGAGGCGCGAAAGCGUGGGGAGCAAACGGG
RNAcentral lists this ribosomal RNA (253 nucleotides) under uncultured bacterium. Its description in RNAcentral is "partial 16S ribosomal RNA". It matches the Rfam family "Bacterial small subunit ribosomal RNA", at positions 524 to 776 of the family's 1533-position model. The record is from RNAcentral.